UGCGAGUGAUAAGAUCCGUAGUCGAAAGGGAAACAGCCCAGACCACCAGUUAAGGUCCCCAAAUAUAUGUUAAGUGGAAAAGGAUGUGGGGUUGCUUAGACAACCAGGAUGUUGGCUUAGAAGCAGCCACCAUUGAAAGAGUGCGUAAUAGCUCACUGGUCGAGUGACCCCGCGCCGAAAAUGUACCGGGGCUAAACAUAUUACCGAAACUGUGGAUGAACCUCUUCGGAGGUUCGUGGUAGGAGAGCGUUCUAAGGGCGGUGAAGUCAGACCGGAAGGACUGGUGGAGCGCUUAGAAGUGAGAAUGCCGGUAUGAGUAGCGAAAGAAGGGUGAGAAUCCCUUCCACCGAAUAUCUAAGGUUUCCUGAGGAAGGCUCGUCCGCUCAGGGUUAGUCGGGACCUAAGCCGAGGCCGAUAGGCGUAGGCGAUGGACAACAGGUAGAGAUUCCUGUACCAGUGCUAAUUGUUUAACCGAUGGGGUGACACAGAAGGAUAGGGAAUCGCACGAAUGGAAAUGUGCGUCCAAGCAGUGAGUGUGAGAAGUAGGCAAAUCCGCUUCUUGCGAAGCAUGAGCUGUGAUGGGGAAGGAAAUUAAGUACGGAAGUUCCUGAUUUCACGCUGUCAAGAAAAGCCUCUAGGAAGAGUAGUACUGCCCGUACCGCAAACCGACACAGGUAGAUGAGGAGAGAAUCCUAAGGUGAGCGAGAGAACUCUCGUUAAGGAACUCGGCAAAAUGACCCCGUAACUUCGGGAGAAGGGGUGCUCUAUUAGGGUGCAAGCCCGAGAGAGCCGCAGUGAAUAGGCCCAGGCGACUGUUUAGCAAAAACACAGGUCUCUGCAAAACCGUAAGGUGACGUAUAGGGGCUGACGCCUGCCCGGUGCUGGAAGGUUAAGAGGAGUGCUUAGCUUCGGCGAAGGUACGAAUUGAAGCCCCAGUAAACGGCGGCCGUAACUAUAACGGUCCUAAGGUAGCGAAAUUCCUUGUCGGGUAAGUUCCGACCCGCACGAAAGGCGCAACGAUCUGGGCACUGUCUCAACGAGAGACUCGGUGAAAUUAUAGUACCUGUGAAGAUGCAGGUUACCCGCGACAGGACGGAAAGACCCCGUGGAGCUUUACUGCAACCUGAUAUGGAAUGUUUGUACCGCUUGUACAGGAUAGGUAGGAGCCGAAGAGACGUGUGCGCUAGCAUACGAGGAGGCAAUGGUGGGAUACUACCCUGGCUGUAUGACCAUUCUAACCCGCCACGCUAAGCGCGUGGGGAGACAGUGUCAGGUGGGCAGUUUGACUGGGGCGGUCGCCUCCUAAAGAGUAACGGAGGCGCCCAAAGGUUCCCUCAGAAUGGAUGGAAAUCAUUCGCAGAGUGUAAAGGCACAAGGGAGCUUGACUGCGAGACUGACAAGUCGAGCAGGGACGAAAGUCGGGCUUAGUGAUCCGGUGGUUCCGCAUGGAAGGGCCAUCGCUCAACGGAUAAAAGCUACCCCGGGGAUAACAGGCUUAUCUCCCCCAAGAGUCCACAUCGACGGGGAGGUUUGGCACCUCGAUGUCGGCUCGUCGCAUCCUGGGGCUGUAGUCGGUCCCAAGGGUUGGGCUGUUCGCCCAUUAAAGCGGCACGCGAGCUGGGUUCAGAACGUCGUGAGACAGUUCGGUCCCUAUCCGUCGCGGGCGCAGGAAAUUUGAGAGGAGCUGUCCUUAGUACGAGAGGACCGGGAUGGACACACCGCUGGUGUACCAGUUGUUCCGCCAGGAGCAUCGCUGGGUAGCUAUGUGUGGCAGGGAUAAACGCUGAAAGCAUCUAAGCGUGAAGCCCCCCUCAAGAUGAGAUUUCCCAUUUCUUCGGAAAGUAAGAUCCCUGAAAGAUGAUCAGGUAGAUAGGUUUGGAGUGGAAGUGUAGCGAUACAUGGAGCGGACAAAUACUAAUCGAUCGAG
This 1927-nucleotide ribosomal RNA is filed under the name Listeria innocua. Its description in RNAcentral is "partial 23S ribosomal RNA". It matches the Rfam family "Bacterial large subunit ribosomal RNA", at positions 990 to 2912 of the family's 2925-position model. Lineage: Bacteria; Bacillati; Bacillota; Bacilli; Caryophanales; Listeriaceae. The record is from RNAcentral.